This 440-nucleotide ribosomal RNA is filed under the name uncultured bacterium. Its description in RNAcentral is "partial 16S ribosomal RNA". It matches the Rfam family "Bacterial small subunit ribosomal RNA", at positions 338 to 795 of the family's 1533-position model. The record is from RNAcentral.
UCUACGCGCGGCUGCAGUGGAGAAUAUUGCACAAUGGGGGAAACCCUGAUGCAGCGACGCCGCGUGAGUGAAGAAGUAUCUCGGUACGUAAAGAUCUAGCAGCAGGGAAGAAAAUGACGGUACCUGACUAAGAAGCCCCGGCUAACUCCGUGACAGUAGCCGCGGUAAUACGGAGGGGGCAAGCGUGAGCCGGAUUUACAGGGAGUAAAGGGAGCGUAGACGGUAGCAGAAGUCUGGAGUGAAAUCCCGGGGCUUAACCCCGGAACUGCUUUGGAAAAUGUGCGGCUGGAGUGCAGGAGGGGUAAGCGGAAUUCCUAGUGUAGCGGUGACAUGCGUAGAUAUUAGGAGGAACGCCGGUGGCGAAGGCGGCUUACUGGACUGUAACUGACGUUGAGGCUCGAAAGCGUGGGGAGCAAACAGGAUUAGAUACCCUAGUAGUC